UACGUAGGGUGCGAGCGUUAAUCGGAAUUACUGGGCGUAAAGCGUGCGCAGGCGGUUUUGUAAGCCAGAUGUGAAAGCCCCGGGCUUAACCUGGGAAUGGCAUUUGGGACUGCAAGGCUGGAGUGUGGCAGAGGAGACUGGAAUUCCUGGUGUAGCAGUGAAAUGCGUAGAUAUCAGGAGGAAUACCGAUGGCGAAGGCAGGUCUCUGGGCUAACACCGACGCUCAUGCACGAAAGCGUGGGGAGCAAACAGG
Molecule: ribosomal RNA, 253 nt
Filed under: uncultured bacterium
Lineage: Bacteria
Description: partial 16S ribosomal RNA
Rfam family: Bacterial small subunit ribosomal RNA
Source: RNAcentral